UACGGGGGGGGCAAGCGUUGUUCGGAAUUACUGGGCGGAAAGGGCUCGUAGGCGGCCAACUAAGUCGGACGUGAAAUCCCCAGGCUCAACCUGGGAACUGCGUCCGAUACUGGAUGGCUUGAAUCCGGGAGAGGGAUGCAGAAUUCCAGGUGUAGCGGUGAAAUGCGUAGAUAUCUGGAGGAAUACCGGUGGCGAAGGCGGCAUCCUGGACCGGCAUUGACGCUGAGGAGCGAAAGCCAGGGGAGCAAACGGC
RNAcentral lists this ribosomal RNA (253 nucleotides) under uncultured bacterium. RNAcentral's name for it is "partial 16S ribosomal RNA". It matches the Rfam family "Bacterial small subunit ribosomal RNA", at positions 524 to 776 of the family's 1533-position model. The record is from RNAcentral.